AAAAAUUCCCCAAAACAGUUUCGUUCCCCCAACACCCUAGAUCUGCGAUUCAGGCUCUUCUGCCUGUAUUCGAGGGAUUCUGAGCAUGUUUUAUUGAUUAGGGAGGGAUGAGGGUUAUCUGGUAUUAAUUUGGUGGGAAAAAGAGGCGGCGACGCCAUUGGGAUUCCAAGGCGACAACUAGGGUUCGUAAAUUCUAAGAGGAUUCGAAGAGUUCUUGGUGUGUUCGAACGUUUCUGGCCAUGGAUUGAGGAUGUAGGAGAUGGAGUGGUGUUGGGGUGUUCAUUUGGUAGGGAUUAGACUCCGGCGCCGCCACAUGAGGAGUUGAGGGUAUGAGGGGGGGGCGGGGCGUCGCUAGGGUUUACAGAGAGUAUGGAUAAUUGGAGAGAAGAGGGAU
This 394-nucleotide long non-coding RNA is filed under the name Nicotiana benthamiana. RNAcentral's name for it is "long non-coding RNA (NBEN_LNC004687)". The record is from RNAcentral. Lineage: Eukaryota; Viridiplantae; Streptophyta; Magnoliopsida; Solanales; Solanaceae.